CUACGGGGUGCAGCAGUGAGGAAUAUUGCACAAUGGGGGGAACCCUGAUGCAGCAACGCCGCGUGGAGGAUGACGCAUUUCGGUGUGUAAACUCCUUUUAUAUGUCAAGAAAAUGACGGUAGCAUAUGAAUAAGCACCGGCUGACCCCGUGCCAGCAGCCGCGGUAAUACGGAGGGGGCAAGCGUUACUCGGAAUCACUGGGCGUAAAGGACGCGUAGGCGGGUUGGAAAGUCAGGUGUGAAAUCCUACAGCUUAACUGUAGAACUGCACUUGAAACUUCUAAUCUAGAGUAUGGGAGGGGGAGAUGGAAUUAGUGGUGUAGGGGUAAAAUCCGUAGAUAUCACUAGGAAUACCUAAAGCGAAGGCGAUCUCCUGGAACAUUACUGACGCUAAGGCGUGAAAGCGUGGGGAGCAAACAGGAUUAGAUACCCUUGUAGUC
Molecule: ribosomal RNA, 439 nt
Filed under: uncultured bacterium
Lineage: Bacteria
Description: partial 16S ribosomal RNA
Rfam family: Bacterial small subunit ribosomal RNA
Source: RNAcentral